Molecule: long non-coding RNA, 513 nt
Organism: Homo sapiens (human)
Lineage: Eukaryota; Metazoa; Chordata; Mammalia; Primates; Hominidae
Gene: OSBPL10-AS1
Product: OSBPL10 antisense RNA 1
Source: Ensembl
AGCAAAGGGGCCGACCUGCAGAAAGGUUCAAGCGAUUCUCCUGCCUCAGCCUCUCAAGUAGCUGGGACUACAGGAACAAACGAAUUGUUUUUUUCAACUUGACAAGUAUCCUGCAUAAAACUGCAUUAAAAACCAGUAACAUCAGACCCGGGAUGGGGACGGAAGGUCCAAAUCAGAACCUCCAUGGAAUGCAUCUCUACAUAUUUUCACAUCUGUUUUCAAGCAAGGAGCAAGACCAGCAAGAAAGUGAGGACUUCCUCUGAUGCACAAACCUGGGAUGUGCUGUGCAAAUCAGCUACCUGGGCUUCCCACCUGUGGAUGCUCACUGACCUGGGGCCGCACCAGGUGAUUUCAGGACUUCCUCAGAGAAAACCCAGGCAAGACACCAGCAACAGAGCUACCCUGAUAAUUAUUAAAUUAGCUCUAUGUGGAGAAGCCAUAUUUGAAUAAGUUAUUAGUGGAGGUCCUUUGUAAACCAUGCUCCAUUAUAUAAAUGGCAGAUGUCAUUAUUUA